This is a long non-coding RNA of Melospiza melodia melodia, 1390 nucleotides long. RefSeq lists it as uncharacterized. The transcript is spliced from 6 exons. The record is from RefSeq and is a predicted model, not a curated record. NCBI's taxonomy places the organism in Eukaryota, Metazoa, Chordata, Aves, Passeriformes, Passerellidae.
GAUCCCUUCGCUGGUGGUUAUGCUGGUGCUCGGUGUGCUCCCAUCCUGUGUUCCCAAGUGGAGACCCUCUCUCUCGGGUGAGACAACCACUACACCAUCCGGGCUCGGGCGUCUGGUGGACUGAGGGAACUGUCAGUGCAGUCUGAAGCAGAAGCACUCUCAGGUUUGCUCCUGCUGCCCAUCAGAGUGAAGUUCAGUGUUACCUCAGCUGGGUUACAGAUUGCUCUGGAGAAGCAAACAACACAAUGCUGUCAGAAUGGCUCUGGACCUUUCUGUGCAUCAGGUCUUGCAAGCUCUGUAAAAUGGUGCUUCCUGGAUCUGCUGUGAAUAUCUUCUUAUGCCAUCUUGCAAAACUGUCUAUUCUAUCCAUUAAGUGACUUACUGACAGUGCAGACUGUGCAAUGUGCCAUUAUUAUGAAAAUGGAGACUCCAAAGACUCCUGCCUUCAAGUCUGAAACUAUACACAAAUAUUUCCACUUGAAAACACACCAGCAUCUUUGAAGAACAAUAUUCAAGAUGAAAAAAAUUCAGCCAAAGUAGUUCUUGAGGAACUGCAGCUUGUGGGAAGGACUCCUACCAGAGAGGUUUGUGAAGGACUGUCUCCCAUGCUAGAACUCCUAUCCCAGAGCACUGGAAGAGUAUGAGGAAAUACAUGUGGCAGAGAUACAGGAGAAAUUAUAUAACAAUUUGGUGGAUACCUGCCUACUAGUCAAGGUCAACCCAGCACACAAAGCUGGCAGCUGAGCCUCAUGGACCUGCCUGCUCAAACCUCCCAGCAGGGCACAGAAGAGACUUGGAAGGGCAAAAGGGAGAAAACUUGUGGUUGAGACAAUGACAGUUCAACAAGCAAAACAAAAGCUGCAUGCGCAAGCAAAGCAAAACACAGAAUUCGGUCAGGAGGGUGUUCAGCCAUCUCCAGGACAGCCACGCUCCAUCCUGCCUAAAGGAGACCUGAAAAAUCUAAUGGUAUCACUUCGAAUGCCCUCCUCACCGUCCUUCUGCACUCCAGCCCUUAUUGCUGACCAUGGUGUUGUGUGGUAUGGCAUAUCCCUCUUGUCAGUUUAAAAACAUAGGUGGUUUCUUUACAGUUUGUUUUACUAAAGGAUCAGAAGCCUAUUGCAUAGCAGAUUGAAAACGAGAAAAAUCAAGCCUGACCACGAGGUAUGACACCAGAAACUGCAGCAUUGUCUGGAAACUUACAGUUUCUUCAACAGGAUGACAUAGUGUUGUGGGUGUCCACCACCAAAGCUGCUCUAUAAUUUCACCGUUCUCAGCAGGACAGGGGAGGGAAAAUAUAAUGAAAGGCUCAUGGAAUGAGAUAAGGACAAGUAGAAAUUACUCAUCAAUUAUGAUCCCAGGCACAAUAGACUAAACCUGGGGAAAAUUAGUU